CCGAGUUUACAACUCCCAAACCCUUGUGAACAUACCUAUCGUUGCUUCGGCGGGAUCCGCCCCGGCGCCUCAACGCGCCGGAAUCAAGGCGCCCGCCGGAGGUAUCCAAACUCUUGUUUUCUUAGUGGUAUCUUCUGAGUAGCGAAGCAAAAUGAAUUA
RNAcentral lists this unclassified non-coding RNA (159 nucleotides) under soil metagenome. RNAcentral's name for it is "partial internal transcribed spacer 1". The record is from RNAcentral.